AACUGAUACUACCUGCGGGAACCUGCGGAGGGAUCAUUACCGAGUUAUACAACUCCCAAACCCACUGUGAACCUUACCUCAGUUGCCUCGGCGGGAACGCCCCGGCCGCCUGCCCCCGCGCCGGCGCCGGACCCAGGCGCCCGCCGCAGGGACCCCAAACUCUCUUGCAUUACGCCCAGCGGGCGGAAUUUCUUCUCUGAGUUGCACAAGCAAAAACAAAUGAAUCAAAACUUUCAACAA
This 240-nucleotide unclassified non-coding RNA is filed under the name soil metagenome. RNAcentral's name for it is "partial contains 5.8S ribosomal RNA, internal transcribed spacer 2, and large subunit ribosomal RNA". The record is from RNAcentral.